Molecule: ribosomal RNA, 253 nt
Filed under: uncultured bacterium
Lineage: Bacteria
Description: partial 16S ribosomal RNA
Rfam family: Bacterial small subunit ribosomal RNA
Source: RNAcentral
UACGAAGGGGGCUAGCGUUGCUCGGAAUCACUGGGCGUAAAGGGUGCGUAGGCGGAUCUUUAAGUCAGGGGUGAAAUCCUGGAGCUCAACUCCAGACCUGCCUUUGAUACUGAGGAUCUCGAGUUCGGGAGAGGUGAGUGGAACUGCGAGUGUAGAGGUGAAAUUCGUAGAUAUUCGCAAGAACACCAGUGGCGAAGGCGGCUCACUGGCCCGAUACUGACGCUGAGGCACGAAGGUCAGGGGAGCAAACGGG